RNAcentral lists this long non-coding RNA (1434 nucleotides) under Volvox carteri. RNAcentral's name for it is "long non-coding RNA (VCAR_LNC001066)". Lineage: Eukaryota; Viridiplantae; Chlorophyta; Chlorophyceae; Chlamydomonadales; Volvocaceae. The record is from RNAcentral.
AGAAACUGUCAUUUGUUCCAUAUAUCUACCAGGUGCAGUCACGUUACUGCGGAAAAUGUAAAAGCCUAGUACGGCCGCAGCCGGGCUUCAAUUGCACUGGUUGCUGCGGGGUUUGAGCUACAUGCGUAAUUGCCGGGUUCAUAUACUCGGCAUAGGGUUCCUGAAAAGGGGAGUUAUGGCAGUAUUUGCGUGGGCAGUGGCUCCUGUGCAACAAACCGGCCAGACAAGUUUCCAGGCAUGUUUGCUUCUGGCUUCGUAUUAUUAACCGCGGGGUGUGUCAAGGCUGUGUCGGCUUCCUGGAAGCUGUAAAAAGGGCGUGGGUUCCUUUAUUCCGUACAGGUCCAUCGCUUAGCCAUACGUGCGCAAACUGCUGGGCUGUCUCGCUGUGCAGGGAGCGGUCGGGGAAGCCAACGCACUUUGCAAGAGCAGUCCGUAAGUCGACACGCGUUACAAGGGCAGUCAGCAAUGCCAACGCACCUUGCAAAAGGGAAGCCGUCCCACCUUGCAAGAUCGGCCAGGAAAGGCAGGCGGCCGUCGAAGGUCCUAAACUUUGCAUAGUUUUGCAAAGAAAUGAUGUCAUCUCGUUAGCGAAACGCUCGUGAAAUCGUGAAGCGCGAGGCCUUAAACCGCCGCAAUGGUCGCGGAGAGCUGGUUGCAUGUUCGAUUCGCAUGUGCCGUCAACUGCAUGUCUUUCGAUAAGAAACACGGUAUUGUAUUGAGGAAAUAUCGCGCGAGAAACGUUGAUAUGACCUUGGUCUCGGUCCAUGAAGACAGGCUCACGAGUUUGCCUGUCUUCAGACAGGCAAACUCGUUUGCACUCAUACGAUGUUUGUCAGCUACAGGAAAGAUACCAUAAAAUAGAGAUUAGGCAAGGUUAUACAGAAGGUAGGUGAGCUAUCAGACACACGGACACACGGACAUGGCGGGCGGGGCAGGCGGGGCCGCCGCCCCAAAGUCGGCAACUCAACGGAAAUGCACAAUUAUGAACCUGCCGCAUCGAGUGAGCUAUGUGCAAUAUUACAUGUCACGAUACCAUUAUUGGGGUACUUACGGCCUCACCGCUCACACCUUUGUGCUAAGGCAAAGUGCACAAAAGUUGAAGUACGUACGGAUGUUUAAAGAUAGCGUCCAGAUUCAUCGAGUAGUUUACGUCCUGUAUCUGCUGGAGGCCGCGUAAGUAAGCUUAUCGGCAUCUAUUGUUAGCAUUUGGCCGGAGUGUACGGCACAUUUCGUAAUGUUGCGGGAAGUACGGUAGUCACUAGACCUUAUUAAAUUAAGAAACGGUGUACUGAGUCAUGCUUUUAAACGUCUCGGCUCGCGCUGAUCCCUAUCAUGAUUGCAUGUCGGUGGCCAGGUGGUGGGUCGGGGGUUACUCACGCAUAUGAUGUGUGAAACAGGGGGAAUAUCUUCACCCGCGGCAGCUACCCUGCGAAA